This is a long non-coding RNA of Paralichthys olivaceus (Japanese flounder), 267 nucleotides long. RefSeq lists it as uncharacterized. The record is from RefSeq and is a predicted model, not a curated record. NCBI's taxonomy places the organism in Eukaryota, Metazoa, Chordata, Actinopteri, Pleuronectiformes, Paralichthyidae.
CUGAAUCCUGGUAGAUGUGGGGGAGGACUGCUUGGUGUGUGCAGUUGUAGUGAAGCUGUGUCCUGAUGGAUCCUGACUGAUCAUCUGCUGUGUAGCCCCAUGGUGAAGAGGAAACUCAGCCCUUGUCACCCCCUCAUUUGAGCCAGAGUUGUCUGCUGACCAACCUUCCCAGUGUCUCCUUUAAUCAGGGCCCCAGAGUGAGCAAGGUAAUCUAAACUGGUGUGGUCGUGUAGAGGGGUUAAUCCCACUUAAGUAUUUUUGCCAGUU